Molecule: ribosomal RNA, 270 nt
Filed under: uncultured prokaryote
Description: partial 16S ribosomal RNA
Rfam family: Bacterial small subunit ribosomal RNA
Source: RNAcentral
UACGUAGGGGACGAGCGUUGUCCGGAAUUACUGGGCGUAAAGGGCGCGCAGGCGGAUAUUUAAGUCAGCUGUUAAAGUCAUGGGCUCAACCCAUGGAUGCGGUUGAAACUGGGUAUCUAGAGUGCUGGAGAGGUAGGCGGAAUUCCCGGUGUAGCGGUGAAAUGCGUAGAUAUCGGGAAGAACACCAGUGGCGAAGGCGGCUUACUGGCCAGCAACUGACGCUGAGGCGCGAAAGCCAGGGGAGCGAACGGGAUUAGAUACCCUGGUAGU